GGUAUUCUGGCAGACCGCGCCAUCUGCCGUCGAUCCUGCGCGGCUCCGAGCCUCGCAUGAUGGCUCGACCCGGCUCCGAGCCCGGAGCACCGAUUAGCCAAACACCCCAUCCCAAAAUUCCUCCCAAUUCUCAUCCCACGCGCACGCAGAAUCGCCGUCGAAUAUCCCGUUUCUCAUCUCGCGGUGACCCUGAGGCGGCCCUUCCCCUCUCGCGGCAAUAGUGCCCUCUGCCCUCCCGAACCAGCGACACCAUCUUGAGUGCCCGGGAGGCGAUGAAGUCAGAUUCCAGCGGCAGACAGGCCACGGAGACGGAGAGAUCCUAACCAGGUCGCGCAUGGGAGAUCAGGUUACGCCGUUCUCACUGCCCACUUAUUAGACUGCCAAACGAUUCCGAUUUAUUAGGCAAACGUGCUUGCGAUCUCCAAUUAAAGCAAAGAGGUAUAUCGCAGUAAGCUUGUCACUAGGAUUUUGCUUCUCGUAAAUUAUAUACAAUACUGAAGUCAUCAGUACGUUUUGGGUCAUUGCUGAAGCCAUUGCUAUCACCAUGCUAUGCUGGAUUCUAAAAAAUUUGGCAUCAUUUUAUAGUAACUUGAUUGUGCCAUUCUAGUAUAUUGAUUAUGCAUGCCAUUGUUGUAAAUUUGACCAUGUAAGUAUCAAUUUUCGUAAUUCUGGUACGAGGGAUUCUAAUAAACUCGACACUAUUUUAUACUAACUUGAUUAUGCCAUUGUGGUAAAUGAUCUUGUGGUUAAUUAAUGAUGCCAUUCUUGUAAAAUUGGCCAAACCAUUAACCUAACCAUUCUAGUAAAUUGAUGAUGGCAUUGUGGUAAAUUCAAACAAGCAUGGCUGUCUUAUCAUUCAAUGUCCUCGCUUUUUUCAGAGUAAUAUUUUUGAUUUUUCACCCUUGCAGAUUGAAAAUUGAUAUGUUCAGCAGUCCUGUAGUAAGGAGCUUACGAUCCCUAUUAACAAAAAGAUAUCUGCCGUAGCUUCCAAUAACUGCAAAGAUAUUAUAGUAGAUGUGUUGUUGUAAAUUUGUUUUUUCACAAAUCCGAGACACAAGACCAUACAAAAUGGUAGUAGUGUAUGAGAAUUUUAUGGGUAUAAUUAGCAUUGUUUGCUUUUCUAGCUGCUCUAGUUUUCAGUUGUAGUAUAGUAUAUUCAGUAUUAAGAUCUUUCAGCUGCUCUGUUUUCAGUUGCAAAAUAGAGGACCAAGUAUCCCUAUUGUGUUAGUGCUUGCAAGUUAGUUUCCUUCUACUCGGCUGUUGUCAAUUCAUUAUGCGCUGCAUGAUUCUUCAUAUUUUUGCAAUUUAUCUACCCAGAUGUUGAUUUAUGCCUAAUCUGCAUGCAUAUUUGCUCUCAAUCAUCUAAACACUUAUUACAGAUGUGAAAUGAACAUAUUUGUUUACUAUUCUCCUUGUUAUGAAGUUUUUAGGUGAUGAGGCCUUGUGGCAAGUUCUGGGCAAGAUGCGCUUACUUAAGAGCAGCUAAUAGGCAUGGUUGAUUAAUUCUGAGUUCAGUAUGCGGCCAACUUGCUGCAACUGAACGAGAGAAGCUCCAAAUGAUUCUCUAAUUCUGAUGUACACAUAUAUGUGUCUAUAAGUGUGUAAUGUUUUCUAAAUUAUUGUACAGUACUUAAAGCAAGUCGUAGUUGUGCCA
Long non-coding RNA from Setaria italica (foxtail millet), 1654 nucleotides. RefSeq lists it as uncharacterized. The record is from RefSeq and is a predicted model, not a curated record. The transcript has 2 exons. Lineage: Eukaryota; Viridiplantae; Streptophyta; Magnoliopsida; Poales; Poaceae.